CCGGCUUUUACAUCAUUUACGUGCUUUCUUUAUUGUAUCUGCUCUAUUUUCAUUCAAAUCAACUUUCUCUCUCUUCCUUCCGUUUUCUCUCCGGAUCUUUCAACGGAGGAAGAGGAGAUGAAAGUUUUUGGUGUAUGUUUUGAUAUUUUAUUGAUCAAAUCCUUUUGUUUGUAUAUAUUUGAUCAGUUCCGUUUGCACAUUUCUUCUUCGCUAGACGAAUUUUGGAGUGUUUUCAAAAACAAAUAGGACCGCGUUCUUCAAGUUUUCUUUUGUCCGAUUUGAUUUUUGAAAUUAAUAAAGGUUUUCUCCACCUUUCGUGGUUCUUAUAUUCGAUUCCGACGAUCCUUUGAUCAGAUACCCUGCUUACUGAAUCAACUUUACUUCUUUUCAAUAAGAUUCAGUCUUUAUCGAUUUUAGAUUAGCCUUUUUAGGCAUAAGUGAGUUAUGGUCCCUCUGAUUGUUGGGUCUCGGCUAGAGCGAAAGGUGUUAUGGAGUACAAGAAUCUGGCGAUUAAGAUGUUGCGGUGAAUUUUGGGCCGGAAUUUUCUCUACAUCAGUGAAUCAAUGGAGGCAGAGAGAAGGACGGUGGAGUUACGUGUCCCACAUAUGCAUCAAGAUACUGCCACGUCGCAACUUCUGAUUAUUAAGCUAAACGUGCUUUAAAAAAUUUGUUUUAUAUUAUGUUGUAAUGUGUUGGGCUUAAACCCUUCUAUGUACUCCACUUAGCCCAUGGGGCUUUAAUGAAAAUCAGUUGACAAAAAAAAAAAUCUACUCUAU
This is a long non-coding RNA of Brassica napus (rape), 776 nucleotides long. RefSeq lists it as uncharacterized. Lineage: Eukaryota; Viridiplantae; Streptophyta; Magnoliopsida; Brassicales; Brassicaceae. The record is from RefSeq and is a predicted model, not a curated record. The transcript is spliced from 2 exons.